This 366-nucleotide long non-coding RNA is filed under the name Vitis vinifera (wine grape). Its description in RNAcentral is "long non-coding RNA (VVIN_LNC001761)". The record is from RNAcentral. Lineage: Eukaryota; Viridiplantae; Streptophyta; Magnoliopsida; Vitales; Vitaceae.
CUGAACAAGCUGAGGAAAUCGGCUUCUUUUGGGUUCAGAAGCAAUGGCAGCAGUUAUGCAGCACAAGCAGCCUCUGUGCCAGCAGCUGCGGAUGAGCCAGAUGUGUCUUGGGUUCAGUCCCUGGUGAAGGAAGCCCCAUCAGCAAGACCUGGGCAAUUCGGUUAUGAGGAGCAGCAUCAAUAUCAUCUCAAUAGUGGAGGUUCUGAGAUACUCCCACCUUGGGUCGAGCAGUUGUGCGUGGAGCAGGAGCAGAUGGUGGCAUGAAAGCAAAUAUUAAUCCCCACAUCAGUUAAUUUAACUUUUUAACAAGCUUGUUUUCAUUUAUUAAUUUUUAUUGAUAUUCACCAUACGUAGUUGGAAGGAAAU